UUAAGCGACUAAGCGUACACGGUGGAUGCCCUGGCAGUCAGAGGCGAUGAAGGACGUGCUAAUCUGCGAUAAGCGUCGGUAAGGUGAUAUGAACCGUUAUAACCGGCGAUUUCCGAAUGGGGAAACCCAGUGUGUUUCGACACACUAUCAUUAACUGAAUCCAUAGGUUAAUGAGGCGAACCGGGGGAACUGAAACAUCUAAGUACCCCGAGGAAAAGAAAUCAACCGAGAUUCCCCCAGUAGCGGCGAGCGAACGGGGAGGAGCCCAGAGCCUGAAUCAGUGUGUGUGUUAGUGGAAGCGUCUGGAAAGGCGCGCGAUACAGGGUGACAGCCCCGUACACAAAAAUNNNNNNNNNNNNNNNNNNNNNNNNNNNNNCACAUAUUGUGAGCUCGAUGAGUAGGGCGGGACACGUGGUAUCCUGUCUGAAUAUGGGGGGACCAUCCUCCAAGGCUAAAUACUCCUGACUGACCGAUAGUGAACCAGUACCGUGAGGGAAAGGCGAAAAGAACCCCGGCGAGGGGAGUGAAAAAGAACCUGAAACCGUGUACGUACAAGCAGUGGGAGCACGCUUAGGCGUGUGACUGCGUACCUUUUGUAUAAUGGGUCAGCGACUUAUAUUCUGUAGCAAGGUUAACCGAAUAGGGGAGCCGAAGGGAAACCGAGUCUUAACUGGGCGUUAAGUUGCAGGGUAUAGACCCGAAACCCGGUGAUCUAGCCAUGGGCAGGUUGAAGGUUGGGUAACACUAACUGGAGGACCGAACCGACUAAUGUUGAAAAAUUAGCGGAUGACUUGUGGCUGGGGGUGAAAGGCCAAUCAAACCGGGAGAUAGCUGGUUCUCCCCGAAAGCUAUUUAGGUAGCGCCUCGUGAAUUCAUCUCCGGGGGUAGAGCACUGUUUCGGCAAGGGGGUCAUCCCGACUUACCAACCCGAUGCAAACUGCGAAUACCGGAGAAUGUUAUCACGGGAGACACACGGCGGGUGCUAACGUCCGUCGUGAAGAGGGAAACAACCCAGACCGCCAGCUAAGGUCCCAAAGUCAUGGUUAAGUGGGAAACGAUGUGGGAAGGCCCAGACAGCCAGGAUGUUGGCUUAGAAGCAGCCAUCAUUUAAAGAAAGCGUAAUAGCUCACUGGUCGAGUCGGCCUGCGCGGAAGAUGUAACGGGGCUAAACCAUGCACCGAAGCUGCGGCAGCGACGCUUAUGCGUUGUUGGGUAGGGGAGCGUUCUGUAAGCCUGCGAAGGUGUGCUGUGAGGCAUGCUGGAGGUAUCAGAAGUGCGAAUGCUGACAUAAGUAACGAUAAAGCGGGUGAAAAGCCCGCUCGCCGGAAGACCAAGGGUUCCUGUCCAACGUUAAUCGGGGCAGGGUGAGUCGACCCCUAAGGCGAGGCCGAAAGGCGUAGUCGAUGGGAAACAGGUUAAUAUUCCUGUACUUGGUGUUACUGCGAAGGGGGGACGGAGAAGGCUAUGUUGGCCGGGCGACGGUUGUCCCGGUUUAAGCGUGUAGGCUGGUUUUCCAGGCAAAUCCGGAAAAUCAAGGCUGAGGCGUGAUGACGAGGCACUACGGUGCUGAAGCAACAAAUGCCCUGCUUCCAGGAAAAGCCUCUAAGCAUCAGGUAACAUCAAAUCGUACCCCAAACCGACACAGGUGGUCAGGUAGAGAAUACCAAGGCGCUUGAGAGAACUCGGGUGAAGGAACUAGGCAAAAUGGUGCCGUAACUUCGGGAGAAGGCACGCUGAUAUGUAGGUGAAGUCCCUUGCGGAUGGAGCUGAAAUCAGUCGAAGAUACCAGCUGGCUGCAACUGUUUAUUAAAAACACAGCACUGUGCAAACACGAAAGUGGACGUAUACGGUGUGACGCCUGCCCGGUGCCGGAAGGUUAAUUGAUGGGGUCAGCGCAAGCGAAGCUCUUGAUCGAAGCCCCGGUAAACGGCGGCCGUAACUAUAACGGUCCUAAGGUAGCGAAAUUCCUUGUCGGGUAAGUUCCGACCUGCACGAAUGGCGUAAUGAUGGCCAGGCUGUCUCCACCCGAGACUCAGUGAAAUUGAACUCGCUGUGAAGAUGCAGUGUACCCGCGGCAAGACGGAAAGACCCCGUGAACCUUUACUAUAGCUUGACACUGAACAUUGAGCCUUGAUGUGUAGGAUAGGUGGGAGGCUUUGAAGUGUGGACGCCAGUCUGCAUGGAGCCGGCCUUGAAAUACCACCCUUUAAUGUUUGAUGUUCUAACGUGGACCCGUGAUCCGGGUUGCGGACAGUGUCUGGUGGGUAGUUUGACUGGGGCGGUCUCCUCCUAAAGAGUAACGGAGGAGCACGAAGGUUGGCUAAUCCUGGUCGGACAUCAGGAGGUUAGUGCAAUGGCAUAAGCCAGCUUGACUGCGAGCGUGACGGCGCGAGCAGGUGCGAAAGCAGGUCAUAGUGAUCCGGUGGUUCUGAAUGGAAGGGCCAUCGCUCAACGGAUAAAAGGUACUCCGGGGAUAACAGGCUGAUACCGCCCAAGAGUUCAUAUCGACGGCGGUGUUUGGCACCUCGAUGUCGGCUCAUCACAUCCUGGGGCUGAAGUAGGUCCCAAGGGUAUGGCUGUUCGCCAUUUAAAGUGGUACGCGAGCUGGGUUUAGAACGUCGUGAGACAGUUCGGUCCCUAUCUGCCGUGGGCGCUGGAGAACUGAGGGGGGCUGCUCCUAGUACGAGAGGACCGGAGUGGACGCAUCACUGGUGUUCGGGUUGUCAUGCCAAUGGCACUGCCCGGUAGCUAAAUGCGGAAGAGAUAAGUGCUGAAAGCAUCUAAGCACGAAACUUGCCCCGAGAUGAGUUCUCCCUGACCCUUUAAGGGUCCUGAAGGAACGUUGAAGACGACGACGUUGAUAGGCCGGGUGUGUAAGCGCAGCGAUGCGUUGAGCUAACCGGUACUAAUGAACCGUGAGGCUUAACCUU
This 2930-nucleotide ribosomal RNA is filed under the name Shigella sonnei. Its description in RNAcentral is "bacterial LSU rRNA". It matches the Rfam family "Bacterial large subunit ribosomal RNA". The record is from RNAcentral. Lineage: Bacteria; Pseudomonadati; Pseudomonadota; Gammaproteobacteria; Enterobacterales; Enterobacteriaceae.